RNAcentral lists this ribosomal RNA (404 nucleotides) under Fusobacteriota bacterium. RNAcentral describes it as "Fusobacteria bacterium partial 16S ribosomal RNA". It matches the Rfam family "Bacterial small subunit ribosomal RNA", at positions 355 to 776 of the family's 1533-position model. Lineage: Bacteria; Fusobacteriati; Fusobacteriota. The record is from RNAcentral.
UGGGGAAUAUUGCACAAUGGAGGGAACUCUGAUGCAGCGACGCCGCGUGAGUGAUGAAGGACUUCGUUUCGUAAAACUCUGUUCUAUGGGAAGAAAAGGACUGUACCAUAGGAGAAAGCUCCGGCUAAAUACGUGCCAGCAGCCGCGGUAAUACGUAUGGAGCGAGCGUUGUCCGGAAUUAUUGGGCGUAAAGGGUGCGCAGGCGGCUUUACAAGUUGGAUGUGAAAUAUUGUGGCUCAACCACAAACGUGCAUCCAAAACUGCAAAGCUUGAGUUAAGGAGAGGGAAGUGGAAUUCCGGGUGUAGCGGUGGAAUGCGUAGAUAUCAGGAGGAAUACCGGUGGCGAAGGCGACUUACUGGACUUAAACUGACGCUCAGGCACGAAAGCGUGGGGAGCAAACAGG